GGCCUGAUAGUUCAGUGGUAGAAUUCUUGCUUUGGGUAUUACGACUUAAUUGUAAGAGGUCUCCGGUUCGAUCCCGGAUUAGGCCC
This is a non-coding RNA of Halenospora varia, 86 nucleotides long. The record is from the annotation of a GenBank genome assembly. Lineage: Eukaryota; Fungi; Ascomycota; Leotiomycetes; Helotiales; Solenopeziaceae.